AAAGGGCAUUUCCAUCCCUGUGACUCUUCAAGGCUGAGGUUGGGAGGCCUGUAAUUUCUUUCACCUGCACACCACCACCAAGUUUUCACAAAGUACCUGAAAUGAAGUUAUCACCCAGCAGAGCCCAAUUGGAUCUCAUCUGUACACUGAGGCAUGAAGCUUUUCCUACUCUCAGGUGUGAGCUUCAGCUACAACCUGAAUCCAAUGAAAGGCUCUAUAACAUUACAAAAUGUAAUGCAAAGUGAUUUUCCUUCCACAGAGGAAAAAGAAAUUCAGGAAGGAGAGAAGAAGACCCAAUUCCAGGCAUGAACAUCUAUUUUGCAUGAGGCAUUUGUACAGAUUGACACCAUGGGUUGCUAACAGAGAAAUAUGGAUGAACUACUACUGCCUUGUUCUGCUGCAGCACUGAUCCUACUCCACAUCAAUCAACUGUACUCUCACCUUUACAACUUCAGCUUGAGAGCAUUUGGUCUGCAGUGUCAGUUAUGUAGAUGUCUCUCUCCCUGUCCCCACCAAGAGAGGAAUUUAAUUGGGAAAACUGGAGUUCUAACGAUUUAGUGGAAAGUUUACAAUAAAUAUUCAAUUACUUUAUGUUUUUUAUUUUUCUUAAGGACUUCAGCAUAGUUAUACAUGUGCAGCCAUAGCCUGAAUAGUAACUUGAAUAAUGUCACAUUUCUCAUAACAUGUUUAAUUACAGCAUUUCUUAGCCAAGUUAAUGACAUAAAAGUUCAAAAAGGAGCAGCAAGACCCUAAUUAAUAAUAAUCCCCUUUCUAAAGAAUAUACAGAAAUUUGGGAAAUUAGUACGAAAACUAUUGGUCUUUCUAAUCCAUCCUUUUUCUUUGGACUGCUAUUCAUUAGCCUUGCCCCAAAGUGAUCUCCGCUCACUGCUGUUCAACUCCAUGCUAUUUGAAUCUUCAUCUUUUGUUAGACUUUUCAAUAUCCUAAUUAUGUUUUUAAGUGAAAAAUCUCUCACUAAACCCCAGCAUAAACCUCCUUCUCAUUUCUAAUUUCAAGUCACAGUGGAAACAAGACAAUGACCAUGACAAAGUCAGACUUCUUUGUAUUACAUUUGUUACAUUUAAGUUGUCCUGUCAGCACCAUUUUUCAGACCAAGGACAUUCAAACUCUGAAAGACAAGCAAUGGCUAUAAUAUAGCCAAAGGCAAAAGCAGCAAGGAAUUUUCAGUAAGGAUCUUUAGGGAAGCUUUUGUAUGUGGAGAUUUCUUUAGCUUGACAUUGUUUAAUUAUUAAAGACUAUUUUUUUAGACCAAGUAGAGGAAUAUGGCCAAGAAAAGCAUGUCUAUUACCAAUUGUUAUGUGGGUUUUAUUGUGCCAUUUGUAAAUAAGGUUUUGGUUCCUAGAUCCUAUCUUUCUCUGAACUAGGAGUCAGAUGAAAGUGGGGAAAAUGUGGGCAUUUUUUUUUUUUUUUUUUUUUUCCAUUAAAAGUGAUGAAGAACUUCCUUAUACAAUUUAAAUGAUGUGCUUGUGGUGGUAUGUGACAGAUUGUCUCCCCACAAUGCAUUUUUCUUUCUAAACAUCCUGUCAGUUUGCUUCAAUGAGUUCUGAAUUGUCUUAUCUAUGCCCCUAGGGAAAAACGUCAGUUGUCUUUAUAAACCCUUGUUUUAGGAUGUUUUGAAAGUCUGGUCUAGUCUAUGAGGAAGAAACACUCUGUGGCACGUUCCUUAGUCAUAGCCCCAGUGGUAGCUGCAUUCAGAGGAGAGCACAUGUCGGAAAGUGAUAGAGAACCCUUCUGGGCUCAGCAACUGUGAAACAUAGGCCAUGGGAAGAAGACUAAAGUCUGCUCACCUCUUCUGAAAUGGAUUUGCAUAAUGCAGCCCAAAACCUUCAGACCAUGGAAGGUUUUGUGUCCCCUUGGGUGGUCAUAAUU
Molecule: long non-coding RNA, 1888 nt
Organism: Oxyura jamaicensis (ruddy duck)
Lineage: Eukaryota; Metazoa; Chordata; Aves; Anseriformes; Anatidae
Exons: 3
Source: RefSeq, a predicted model, not a curated record